UUAAAUUGAAGAGUUUGAUCAUGGCUCAGAUUGAACGCUGGCGGCAGGCCUAACACAUGCAAGUCGAACGGUAGCACAGAGAGCUUGCUCUCGGGUGACGAGUGGCGGACGGGUGAGUAAUGUCUGGGAAACUGCCUGAUGGAGGGGGAUAACUACUGGAAACGGUAGCUAAUACCGCAUAACGUCGCAAGACCAAAGAGGGGGACCUUCGGG
RNAcentral lists this ribosomal RNA (213 nucleotides) under Kosakonia radicincitans. RNAcentral describes it as "16S rRNA. Bacterial SSU". It matches the Rfam family "Bacterial small subunit ribosomal RNA", at positions 1 to 209 of the family's 1533-position model. Lineage: Bacteria; Pseudomonadati; Pseudomonadota; Gammaproteobacteria; Enterobacterales; Enterobacteriaceae. The record is from RNAcentral.